CCUACGGGUGGCAGCAGUGAGGAAUAUUGGUCAAUGGACGAGAGUCUGAACCAGCCAAGUAGCGUGAAGGAUGACUGCCCUAUGGGUUGUAAACUUCUUUUAUAUGGGAAUAAAAUGUUCCACGUGUGGGAUUUUGUAUGUACCAUAUGAAUAAGGAUCGGCUAACUCCGUGCCAGCAGCCGCGGUAAUACGGAGGAUCCGAGCGUUAUCCGGAUUUAUUGGGUUUAACGGGAGCGUAGGUGGAUUGUUAAGUCAGUGGUGAAAGUUUGCGGCUCAACCGUAAAAUUGCAGUUGAAACUGGCAGUCUGGAGUACAGUAGAGGUAGGCGGAAUGCGUGGUGUAGCGGUGAAAUGCUUAGAUAUCAUGAAGAACUCCGAUUGCGAAGGCAGCUCACUGGACUACAACUGACACUGAGGCACGAAAGUGUGGGUAUCAAACAGGAUUAGAUACCCUUGUAGUC
RNAcentral lists this ribosomal RNA (460 nucleotides) under uncultured bacterium. RNAcentral's name for it is "partial 16S ribosomal RNA". It matches the Rfam family "Bacterial small subunit ribosomal RNA", at positions 338 to 795 of the family's 1533-position model. The record is from RNAcentral.